UAACCUAGAACCCACAAAGGGU
Molecule: non-coding RNA, 22 nt
Filed under: Arabidopsis thaliana (thale cress)
Lineage: Eukaryota; Viridiplantae; Streptophyta; Magnoliopsida; Brassicales; Brassicaceae
Source: RNAcentral